GAGCCAGGGGAUCACCCGAUAAGAUUGGAACAGAGAAGUUUUGAAUGGCUCCUGCGCUAGGAUGACACGCGCAAAUCGAGAAGUGAACCCAAGCUGA
RNAcentral lists this small nuclear RNA (97 nucleotides) under Symbiodinium microadriaticum. Lineage: Eukaryota; Dinophyceae; Suessiales; Symbiodiniaceae. The record is from RNAcentral.